This 1201-nucleotide long non-coding RNA is filed under the name Canis lupus familiaris (dog). Its description in RNAcentral is "lncRNA (ENSCAFG00000051442.1)". The record is from RNAcentral. Lineage: Eukaryota; Metazoa; Chordata; Mammalia; Carnivora; Canidae.
UUUUUUUUUUCAUGAUAAAAUAGCUAGUGAUUUCCAUCAAUCAGAUUUGGGGUGAAGAAUCCAAGGUAUUCUUUACUGGGUCUGAUGGGAUGCUGGAAAUCGAGGCAGAGCUGUCCGAAGGUGGGGAGGCUGGCGGUCACUCUUCCACAUACAGAAGCCUUGAUGCUUCAUUUCACUGCUGGUUCACUGCAGGCAGUGUCACUCUCUUACAAGGACAGACUCUAGGGACAAGGAGGAUGGAUUCUCAUUCCUGACAGUGCAUUUGCCUGAUACAAGGGACUAACUCCCUCAUGUAUGCUUUUCUUUGAAAAAAAAAAAAAAAAAAAGUAACAAAUUGUCUUUACAUCUUGGCACCUUUGUAAAGUUUUCUUUUUUUUUUUUUUAUACAAAAAGUUCAAUAGCUUUGACAACUCCCCAUUAUUAAUCACUACUUCACUGAUAAACUUUGAAAGUGUGACCCUGGCAUUUCAUCAUGCAAAAUAUUUACUGCAGCAGGAGAAAACAUUUUUUAAAACAGCAUUUUUUUUUCUCUUUUCAAAUGUAUGAACUGGUUUAAGAUAGCCAGGAAGGCAGUGGUAGGAUAAACACAAGGGAUAGGAAUGUAUCAAAAAACAGAUUAACACACAUACCCGCGCACACACAUACACACACACACACAAAUCUGUACAAAAUGCUCUGAUCAAUGAGAACAGAAAAAAAAAAAUCUGUCAACUAUGUUACAAUUUAAAAGCCAAAAAAAAAAAAAAAAAAAGGUUAGGGAACUUCUCCCUCCCACAUGUCAGGAAAUGUCAUCCAAUAUUCUUAAAGCAAGGAUAACUAAAUAAAAUACAUGUGCAGCAUAUUCUGCAAUCCCAUUACAUACAGUAGUUUUUUUCCAAAGCUAUUUUUUUUUUUUUAGUAUCGUUAAUAUAAAGCAGUUGCACAAAAAGCAAAGGUGUUUUGACAAACAGGUGUAUGCAUUUAUUCCUUUUUAGGAACAAUAUCUAAAAAAAGAACCGCCCUCCGCCCUCCCCCAAAAAAGACAAAGAUUCACACAGACACAUUGGAAUAUAUGUACAACAUAAUAAACCCCAUCCUAAAGAAGCGACUGGAACACCCCCCCAGGGAUACAGAAUCAGAAUUGUAAAAAUCAUAGUGAAGUUUGCUUGCUGUAAAGCCUGAGAAUUUUUUUUUUCAGUUGGUUCUUCUGCAGGGCUGUGAU